AUUUUGGGGAAGAGAAGUUCAAUCAUGACUUGUGGAAAUCAAAGAUUGUCUUCUGAAUCUGCUCCUUGAAAGAAGUUUGUAUUCUUGAAGCAACAACAACAAAAAUGAGGGGGAAAAGCUUAUGACAAAUAAUCCACCAGUCUGGAAUAUGUACCUGGGUGAUCUUGGGAAGGUUGGAAAGUUGUCGACCUUUAAGUAUUGCUGCAAGGAGUUCUUUCUUCUCUUCAACAUGUUCCAUACACAUAACCUGUUCAAAUUAAUCAACGAGAACAUGGUUAAUAAUCUGGGAAGAUAAAGAGAUUGAUUUUAUUAAUGUCGCAUUACAGAAAACUGCCUUGUAUCGGUUAAUCUUUGGCUUGUUUUUCUGAAUGAAUGUUCAAGCACAGAAUUCUCAAGCAUUGCCGAAUGACGUCAACUUCUGAGCAAUUGGAUGCAAAUUGCUUGUUUCAAUCAUACACUUCUCUAUGAUAAUUCUCUUCAAUUCAU
Prosopis cineraria is the source of this 486-nucleotide long non-coding RNA. RefSeq lists it as uncharacterized. The transcript has 3 exons. The record is from RefSeq and is a predicted model, not a curated record. Lineage: Eukaryota; Viridiplantae; Streptophyta; Magnoliopsida; Fabales; Fabaceae.